AGUAGGACGAUUACAAUAAUUGAUCAUCAGACAUAGAGUGUCUUAUCUUUUAUUUCAUUUCUUGUAUUUUGCUGGCUGCAAGCAGAAACCUUGGCGUAGUGAUAAUGGUAGGAAAAAACCUGAACAGUAUAAAGCAGUUGAUACUCAGGUUUGUUUAAUCCUCCGUAUAUUAAUUCUUAUGCAGCAUUUCAUGUUUAUAUGUACUAAUAUGAUAAUUCAAGUGUUCAGUAAAGAAUAGCAGGAACAUAAUUGCAUCAUGCCUUAUCUUCUGCAAAGCUUUGAUAUGUCAGGCUAUUCAAGUUCAUUUGAGCAUUGGAAACUAACCUCGAGCUGAGUUUCAUCAUAUUGGAAUUCAGUUGAGCAUUGUCAUUUGUUUUGUCAGACUAUUCGAAUUGCAAUCCUGCUCAUAGUAUCUUUGUUGCAUUUAGUCAGUUGGAAUAUCAUAGUAAAAGAACAUACAGUUAGAUUUAGCACUUACGUAGUUCAGUGUCAUAGUUUCCAUAAUAGUUGAAAACUAUCGUCAUGUGACCUUAUUUCUCUGCAUAAUCCUCCAAACAAUGAUGUCAAGAUGGCAAUGCCACAUAGAAAAAGCCAUAAAGUUUCACAAGGAUAACGAAAUUACAUUGAAAGAAUCAAUCAGAAUGUGAGCACGAACCCUGUCGUGUGUUGCUAGAAUCGAUCAGGUAUGGUCAUUCUAUAGAGCCUCAAUGUUGCCCUUCUUAUUUUUGCAUAUCCAUCUACAUCUAAUGUUUGCUAUAUGUUAUUUUAAGUGUGGAGAGCAAGAACAACAUCGAGAAAAAGAUAUCCCAAAAUGUAUGAAUUCCAAAUAAAGUACUUAAAUUGGAUGGUCAUUGGGUGCAUUGCUUGGUGAUUUCGUGUGAUUGCCUCCAUUGGUGAUGGAAGCUUCCAGGAACAUGGGUCUUUAUUCAGCAAGCAAAUAACAGAGGAUCAAAUUUUGUGGAGCUUAAAUAUGUUGAGAAAUAAAUUUAACUAGGAUUCUCUUUUAGGGUUUUCCUUGAGUGGACAGUUAAGGACUUGUGGUUUUUCUAAAUAUAGAAACACGCAUCAUAUAUAAUGUGCCGGACAGAGCAGAUAUGUACCUAGGUGCCUCUUCCAUGUUUGGGCUUUAAGCAACGUCUUUUGUAUUUGAUAAUAUGCUCCUUUUCAGUAGCUUAUGUAAUUUAUUAUAUGUCAUCAUGAUUUAUUGUAUUAACAUGGUCUAAUUUCAACCA
Long non-coding RNA from Panicum virgatum (switchgrass), 1232 nucleotides. RefSeq lists it as uncharacterized. The transcript has 3 exons. The record is from RefSeq and is a predicted model, not a curated record. NCBI's taxonomy places the organism in Eukaryota, Viridiplantae, Streptophyta, Magnoliopsida, Poales, Poaceae.